AUGAGGAGCAGUUCUAUGAAGUAAAUUCUGAAUUCUAUUACUGAAAAAAACUGGGAGCCUUGGAAUUGGAAAGUUGAAAGCAAAACCUCAGUCGGCUUCUUUCACUUGAAUUCAGUCAUCUGUCACACGAUAAGGAAGACCUGAAUUCAGAGUUGAAAUAAGGACAAUUUGAGAAACACUGGCUUACUAGCCUACUUUCAGAAAUUCUCUGGCAGAUAUAUUGAAAAGCAGAUCAAAUAGGAAAGGCAGAGCUUUUUUCUUCUAUCCAAUGACAGUGAAUGCAGAGUACUUUUACUGCAAACAAGCAACUAAUGAAGUGCUGGCAACUGCCCCAAAGAAGGGAAGGAAACAGGAGGAAAAAAAGCAAAAGAGAAAAAAAUGACUCAAAACGUAACAUGCAUUUAUCCAAGUGUUUAUACUAUGCAUUCGCACUGCUUUCCUUCCAGCUGGGCCUUGAGAGAAACCCUGGAAGGGUACAGCUCAAAGACUGGGGACCAGCUCUGCUGUGUUGCAGAGACAAGUUAGCCAAAUACACGGCCUGAACUGCUUAAAAACAAGAAAAUGACUGGCACCAAACUUAAAUCCUAUUUGUUGUCAUUCUUUAAAGCUGAGUAUCUCUGUUGGAGCUGAGACGUGGGCAGGAAGAGAGAUGUCAUGACUAAAGCUUUUAUUGUACAUGAAUUUCUAAUGUUUCCAGACUUCCAUUUGCUUUCCAUUUCAAAAACCAAGAAAUCAUAUUUUGAUUGAAAUUUCACUUUGACAAAUGAUAUUGAACAUACACAAAAAGGUUUCCUUUAAAUUCAGUUGGUGCCUGAAUAACCUGCUUCAGUAUUGUGCUUUGUGAACCAAGGAAGUACCAUAUAAAUUGAGAUUAUAGAAGAUAUUUUACAGUAGUCUAUAAGAAUUAUACUUCCUGACUUCAUUUGUUUGCAGACUAUAGCCUGUCACUUAUGCAUUUUAUCAUGAUGCUGCUGUCAUUGAUAUGGCAAUGACUGCUAGGAAUUUUUGGCUGUACCUUAAGGUUAGCUUUUACCCUAAAAUUGAUC
This 1046-nucleotide long non-coding RNA is filed under the name Coturnix japonica (Japanese quail). RNAcentral's name for it is "lncRNA (ENSCJPG00005004905.1)". The record is from RNAcentral. Lineage: Eukaryota; Metazoa; Chordata; Aves; Galliformes; Phasianidae.